Molecule: ribosomal RNA, 301 nt
Filed under: uncultured bacterium
Lineage: Bacteria
Description: partial 16S ribosomal RNA
Rfam family: Bacterial small subunit ribosomal RNA
Source: RNAcentral
CAGUCGCCGCGGUAAUACCGAGGGUGCGAGCGUUAAUCGGAUUUACUGGGCGUAAAGCGUGCGUAGGCGGCUUCUUAAGUCGGAUGUGAAAUCCCUGAGCUUAACUUAGGAAUUGCAUUCGAUACUGGGAAGCUAGAGUAUGGGAGAGGAUGGUAGAAUUCCAGGUGUAGCGGUGAAAUGCGUAGAGAUCUGGAGGAAUACAGAUGGCGAAGGCAGCCAUCUGGCCUAAUACUGACGCUGAGGUACGAAAGCAUGGGGAGCAAACAGGAUUAGAUACCCGUGUAGUCCCUGUCUCUUAUAC